This is a long non-coding RNA of Chelonia mydas (Green sea turtle), 5279 nucleotides long. RefSeq lists it as uncharacterized. NCBI's taxonomy places the organism in Eukaryota, Metazoa, Chordata, Testudines, Cheloniidae. The record is from RefSeq and is a predicted model, not a curated record. The transcript is spliced from 6 exons.
GUUGCCCCGCCCCCAACGCGCGGAGCGACCAGAGAGAGGACGAGCGUGCGAGAUCUCGCGGUAACUGCCCGCCAGUAUUUAAGCUCUGAGGAGGCAUGGGCUCGGUCUCUGUCCUCGCUUCCCGUCCUGCUGGGUGAGGUGCCUCCUCGGGACCGUGCGGCCUGACUCCUCCAUGGGGAGCUGGGCCCGGGCCGGCGGCAGAGCGCUCCUCGCCCCAGCCUGGCGGGGCCCUUCCGCACGGUGGGGGCGGGGGACGCCGCUCCGGGGACUCGCGCGCGCCUCUCCGGCUCUGCCCCGCCGCCCCGGGUCGCCGGUGGAUGCGGGAGCCGGGUGAGGCUGGCUCUGCGGGUGGCCGCUCCGGAAGCGCGUCCGACGCGGUGGCAGAAAGGACGAGCUCUGCGCAGAUAAAUGGUCACAUGUGACUGAAAUGCUCAUGAAGACACCUCUUAGGAAUGAAGAAGUUCCUCUGCUGGAAAAGUCCUCCAGAAUAUAUUUACAAUUAUCAGGUGCCUAGAUGUACUUCAUAGAACUUGCAAGACACUAACAUGAAUCUCCUUGAAUGUGAAACUACCCUAAGGAGUGACAAAUUCUCAGGGAAAAAUGAACAAAAUAGAAGGGAUUCAAACUUGCAGCUCCUGCUUUGGUGAAAGUGUGGUGGUGGUUACAGACAACAAUUAAAUGAUUAUGGAUGAAAUCAGUAAUGUAUAAUGUGCUUUUCUAGCCAUUACUUAUCUUACUGUUUUUCUAAACAACAGUUGAUCACUUCAGUUUGCAUGGUUAAAUUUUUGACCCAGCUCAUGUUUCAGUUCUGAAAUGGAAUAAAAGUCAUUCAUCUUUGAAUUUACUUUGAAUAAGUUGUCUGGGAUUUUGAGACAAAAUUAGUGUUUGGGGAAUAUUUUUUACACUAUAUUCAACUAAUAAAGAAUUUUGAAGUACAAUGUACCUGGGCGUUUUUGCAUACAAAUGCAGCAGAGCAUUUGAAGCAUGAAGAGGAGGAAGUGGAUGAACCUGAAACAUUAGAUACAGUUCCUAUCCCAGCAUCUCAUUGCAGAUGACUCGGACCUUUUCAGGCAUGAGUAUUUCUGCUUACACCUUGCAUAUCUGGGUUACAAUCUAGUCAAUAGGCCACUUACACAAUGAGACAAACAGGUCACUUGUGGUCCACAGAUUGAAGCUGAAGUAAUUUAUCAGGUGGGGCAGAUUCCACCAAUUAAUGACUUGGGGAAACCCUGUGUAGUCAAAAUAUAAAACAAAUUACAAAAAAGCAUAAUUUACCCUAACACUAAAAUUAACCUUUGUUUUAGGGUAGAAAGACACCAACCUUAGUCACCUUUUUUGAAAAGUCAGUCUUCAUAAAACUUGAAGACACCUUAAUGUUUUCGUGAGAGUGGUUUCCUACAGACAUUUACGUAGUAAAAUAGAGAAAUGUUUGUGAAGUGCUGUCCUUACACUUAUUCCAAUUGGCAAAUGAAGAUAACCUGUGCUUCAAUCCUGUGUUCUUUGUAGUGGCAGGCCAUGGAGUGAGUUACAAGCCUACUCUGUCACUCUAUAAAGAAAGGGGUGGAGCAUGCUAUUGUAUUGUCUUCCUUAGUCUCAAAACUCAUCUAAUGGCCUUGCAAUUGUCCACGGAGUUAACUAAAGUAGUAUAACCAGGCAUUUACCUAUGACCAACAGCUUGGGAUAAGGGGUUCAGGUUGUGGGAGGGAGCUCUGGGCUAGGGGUGCAGGCUUGAGUGGAGCUGGGAGUGAGGGCUUUGGGGUGCAGGAAGGGGCUCAAGGCUGGGGCAGGGAAUUGGGGCAUGGGCUUACCUUGGGUGGCUUCCAGUAAGCGGCGCAGUGGGGGUGCUAAGGCAGGCUUCCUGCGCCCUGGAAGUGGCCUGCAGCAGGUCCAGCUCCUAGGCACAGGGCCCACAGGCAUAGGAAAAACUAUUCUCCCCCUACUGUUACUUGCACCUGCCUGUCAGCAGUUUGAAAUAGGCCACCCUGACUACUGCUACAGAGGUGAUUUUUUUCCUCAUGUUGAUAGCCCACUGUAAUUGGAUUGUCUCGUUAGAACUGACCCCGCCCCCACUUGAUAAGGCAACUCCCAUCUUUUCAUAUAUUGUGUGUAUAUAUCUUCCUACUAUUUUUUCCACUCCAUGCAUCUGAUGAAGUGGGAUUUUAGCCUACAAAAGCUUAUGCCCAAAUAAAUUUGUUAGUCUCUAAGGUGCCAUACAUACUCCUUGUUUUUGUUGAUACAGACUAACACGGCUACCACUCUGAAACUUGUAUUGGUGGCCCCUUUCACAAAGCAAGCCUCUCAGUGUGACCUUCCCUACUCCCUCCCCUUAUAAAUUAAAAACAUUUUUUAUAUUUAACACUAUUAUAAAUGAUGGACCCAAAGCAGCGUUUGGAAGUGGAGACAGAGCUCAUGACCCCUUGAGAGGUCGCCAUCCCCAGUUUGAGAACCCAUGCUAUAGAGCAAACACAUCAUUUAGAUAUGCAGUCUUGACUUAAAGGAAUGGGGAAGCCACCAUAUCCCUUAGAUAAAUUGUUUCAAUGACUAAUUAAGCCAGUUCAUAAAAAUUCAUCUCAGAUUUGUUGUGCACAGUACCGUUUUGGAGGGCUUGGCUGGAUUAUAUAUAUUUUUUCUUUUGGGCACGUGUUCCACUUUAGCUUCUUAUAUGGAGUUUCAGAAGAGGCUGUGCACCUGAUGAAUAAACUGUUAAUGAGGGCAUAGUGCAUUUUCUUUUCAUGUCCACAUUACAUCCUAGGUUAUAUGCAAAAAGAAAAGACAAAUCUUGAAUAGUACUUCAAAAAAAAUUUGGGGGGGAGGAGAAAGGACCAUUAGUAGAUGGAGACCAUACUAGAAAAAAUGUAAAUUGUUGAAAGCAGUGUAGGAGAAUCACCAAAAUGUAACACUUGAGAAUUAAGACCUAAAUGCUCAAAAAUAAGUUUAAUUUUUAAGUUUCAGAGUAGCAGCCGUGUUAGUCUGUAUUCGCAAAAAGAAAAGGGAUACUUGUGGCACCUUAGAGACUAACAAAUUUAUUUGAGCAUAAGCUUUUGUGAGCUAUAGCUCGCUUCAUUGGAUGAUGUAGCUCACAAAAGUUUAUGCUCAAAUAAAUUUGUUAGUCUCUAAGGUUCCACAAGUCCUCCUUUUCUUUUUGCAGAUAAAAGGAAAACCUUUGUUUCAGAACAUACUCUUUCUAGAGGGGUUUGUAAAGAUAAGAGUAGACAAAUAUUCCUUUGUAACCAAGAGAACAAUUGUUCAGAGAAUGUAGUCACCCACAACUUAGUUUAUUGCUCCAAAGUCUUCAGUGCAAAUGAGUAUUGACUAUUCUUGGAACUAAUGCACAUGUAAGUUAAAUGAAACUGGCCACUUUCUAUAUAUGGAAAAUAUCUGCCAAUAUUUGUUUACAUGGAAACUAGAGUUUUUUAAUGCACAGCUUUUAGAAUGGUUGACAAGUUUUACAGUAAAAUUGGUUUUACUACAAAAUCAAAAUAGUUUUAGAUUUUAAACAUCAAACAGAAAUGUCAAUUAUACAGUGAGCACUUUUAGUGUUCUGGAAAAUUAAUACUUUACAAUACGUUAAUAUAAUUAUGAGAGAAAUCCGUUAAUGGCCUUUCUAUGUUACAUGCAUAUGGUUUAUAUUUUGUAAGAAGUGCUGUACAUAGAUUGUGGUUUUGAAUUGGUGAUGUUUAAAAGUAUAAUACAAAUUGAUUGAAAAAACAGCUGACUUCAGUGAACAUCCAGUGUCUUAGACAAUUUACUCAUUUAAUUUUGGAGUAAUUGAGAUUCAUGGAAAGCUGCAAAAAAUAUUGUAUUAAAAAUAAUGGAAUGAACAGACUUUGUUUAAUUUUUAGGUACAUUUACACAAACAAAAGGAGUCAAUGACUUAUUCCUAUUAAUACAAAAUUAUAACCCCCACUCUGAUUAACUGAUUGGGAUUAAUUAUAUUUGUAUGGCAACUUUAACAUGUAGAGCAACAAAGUAUGAUAUUACAUGGAUAUUGUGACUUGGCAUCCAGGAAUAAGCUGGAGCAAAUGCAGUCAGUGAGGAAGCAUAAAAACUGUUGGACUACGUAGGCUGUGAUUCUGCAGGCAGAUCCUUCCAGCUGUAUAGUGUGCCAGUGACUAACUGGAUAGUGUCUUUUUAAACUUUUUUUUAUAUAUAUAGUUAUAUUUUAUAUAUCUAUAAAAACUUUCGCAGGCACUAUGGUAAUACAAAAAAUUUCAUUUUUCUCUAAGUUCACUGGAAGAGAUCUAAAGGAGAGGUGGAAGGCAUACAUUCUCAGGUGGCACUGGAAAAUAGUUACUCUAAAUCACAAAGAGCCGAAUACUAUUAUCAGUCACACAGAUAUAAAUUUGAAGUAAUUCAGCUGAACUUAGUAAAGUUACGCUGGUGUAACUAAUGGCAGAUUUGAGCUUGAUAUGUGUUUUCUUACAUCUUGUAGACUUUGCUAGAAUGUAUAGCUUGUGCACCUGAGAUCGCUACUGCUUCUCUCCCUCCCCCCGUUUUCUCUGCACUCUGCGUGUCUCCUGUUUUGAAUCUGGUUGGUGACUGCAAAUUUAGGUUAGCCCUGACUGACUGUUCAAGCAUCAGCUCCUGCUUUGAGUGGAAUUGACUGAACAUACAAGAUUGCUGUGAAAUUUAUUUAGCAGGUGUUUCUCCAAGUUCAGUUUUAGGAGCUAAUUGUCAAUCAAAUAGACAUUGAGAAAAUGAUAGCUGAACAUCCAUUCAUUUGUUUUUUGUGCUGGCAGCCCAUUAAUGAAUUAAAGCUACUGUGUCAUCUGGCCUACUUUCUUUAAAUCAGUGGCUGUUACCACCAGUUUGAGAACCAUUGAUCAAAAACAAAAAGGGUAAAUUAAGAAAUUACAUUUCUUUAGCCUGAUUAACAAUGCUCGUAAUCUCUGCAGCAAACAUAUGGGGCAAUUAAAGAACUUUUUAAAGGAGGUGACCUAAAUGGUAGUUCAUCCAUGCCAGAGGUUUUUGCUUAAUCUGGCAGUAUACUCAAUAUUGUCUUUUGAUCAACAAAAAAAAUACAAAACUUUUGAACAACUUAUUUAUCAGACUAACCAUUCAGGCAACCAUUUAAUUUGGGGCUCUGACAAAUACUGUAUUGACAACUCAGUUCCAUAACUGGGCUCAACCUGUUUUUAUUAGAGAUGGCCAGAGCUGAGAAAGUCAGAUACAAACUUCCUGAAAUGUGAGCUGGCUUAGGUAUGGUGUCCUGGUUAAAGUCUGUCAUUAGUGUUGUUUUUUAAUGACUGUAUGAAAGUAAUAAAAUAUUUUAAAUAAUA